GAUAACCUGAAGCCACUGAAGUCACCAGGCAGAACCCAUUAAUGUGUUCCACCCAGAGGAACCAGUGCAAAAUAGUGGAGCCUUGUGACAUCAUUUGGACCCUGAAACAGGACUCAGCUAAAGCUAGAUCUACCCCUGAACAUUUUAGCUUACAUGAGCAGCCACUCCCCUUCUUAUUUAGUUUGAAUCGGGUUUUCUGCCCCAGCAACUGAAAGAGUCUUAACCGAUGCGGACACUCACCAGCUUCACUACCAGAGGCCCAUCAGGUGGGGACCCAGGCUGUGAAGUCAAGGACUACCCAGGAUCACACAGGGAGACGGUGGUGAGGCCACACUGGAGAACUCCACAGUGUCAUCUUGAGCGGGACAUCAAUCUUCUCCUGCCCUGGACACUCCUGGUUCUAAAGCCUUCACACUCCAAGUGCAAUCUACACCACCAGCUCUCCAGCUAUCACCACUGGCUUUCCUGGGUCUCUAGCUUGU
Molecule: long non-coding RNA, 482 nt
Filed under: Equus asinus (donkey)
Lineage: Eukaryota; Metazoa; Chordata; Mammalia; Perissodactyla; Equidae
Description: lncRNA (ENSEASG00005035826.1)
Source: RNAcentral